Nelumbo nucifera (sacred lotus) is the source of this 513-nucleotide non-coding RNA. Lineage: Eukaryota; Viridiplantae; Streptophyta; Magnoliopsida; Proteales; Nelumbonaceae. The record is from RefSeq and is a predicted model, not a curated record.
AGAGCAUCCAGUGCUGCCUGAGGAUGCACAGGAGAGAGCCACAGCUCGAUUUUGGGCAAAAUUCGCCGAGGAUAAGUAGGGCUCAUGUAUAUGGGCAAUGUUCCGUUCUAGUGGUGAAAAAGUAGAGAAGGCUAAGAAGGAAAGCUUGGAAAUGCUGAGAACCAUAGAAGAACAUGGGCUUGGAGAGAAGAAAUUUUUUGGUGGUGACACAAUUGGGUUUGCGGACUUGGCCUUCGGUGGGAUUGCUCACUGGUUGGGAGUAAUGGAAGAUGUUGUGGGGGUGAAGUUGUUGGAAGCUCAAUCUUUCCCUCGUUUGUAUGAAUGGACUCAAAAUUUCAAGGAAGUGCCUGUGAUCAAAGACAACCUGCCUGAUCCUGAGAAGAUGCUUGUCUUCUUCAAACGCUUGAGGGAGAAGUUUCUGGCAUCUGCAUAACCACUACCAUCCAUUGUAUUUCUGUUCUGUUCUAUUCUGCAAGUGUUUUCUGUUUCUGCUUACUACAUUUGAGCUUUUAA